This 222-nucleotide ribosomal RNA is filed under the name uncultured bacterium. Its description in RNAcentral is "partial 16S ribosomal RNA". It matches the Rfam family "Bacterial small subunit ribosomal RNA", at positions 524 to 745 of the family's 1533-position model. The record is from RNAcentral.
UACGUAGGGUGCAAGCGUUGUCCGGAAUUAUUGGGCGUAAAGAGCUCGUAGGCGGUCUGUCGCGUCUGCUGUGAAAACUCAGGGCUUAACCCUGAGCUUGCAGUGGGUACGGGCAGACUAGAGUGCGGUAGGGGAGACUGGAAUUCCUGGUGUAGCGGUGAAAUGCGCAGAUAUCAGGAGGAACACCGAUGGCGAAGGCAGGUCUCUGGGCUGUAACUGACG